Oreochromis niloticus (Nile tilapia) is the source of this 2834-nucleotide long non-coding RNA. The record is from Ensembl. Lineage: Eukaryota; Metazoa; Chordata; Actinopteri; Cichliformes; Cichlidae.
AAUCCUCCCUUAGUUAUGCUGCAAUAGACGUAGGCUGCCGGGGAUUCCCAUGAUGCAUUGAGUUUUUCCCUUCCAGUCACCUUUCUCACUCACUAUGUGCUAAUAGACCUCUCUGCAUCGAAUCAUAUCUGUUAUUAAUCUCUGUCUCUCUUCCACAGCAUGUCUUUCAUCCUGUUUUCCUUCUUUCACCCCAACCGGUCGCAGCAGAUGGCCGCCCCUCCCUGAGCCUGGUUCUGCCGGAGGUUUCUUCCUGUUAAAAGGGAGUUUUUCCUUCCCACUGUCGCCAAAGUGCUUGCUCAUAGGGGGUCAUAUGAUUGUUGGGUUUUUCUCUGUAUUUAUUAUUGUGCUAUCUACUGUACAAUAUAAAGCGCCUUGAGGCGACUUUUGUUGUGAUUUGGCGCUAUAUAAAUAAAAUUGAAUUGAAUUGAAUUGAAUUGAACUGCCAGUAAUAGCCUCACCUCUGUUUUUGGUCUUGGGAUGUGCCAAUGUGCUCAAACGGGACUUACUGAGUGCAAAGACGCUCUCGGAAUGACCGGCAGACCACCAGCCCACACUGUGCACGCCACAUGGUGUCAGCACACCAGCAUGCACAACACUGACACACACACACACACCCCUAACAUGAACCCGAAUCACAUCAGUCUAUGUGUUUUGCUCCUGUAUUUAGUUUCCACCGGAGCUGUGGGAUAUUUGUGAAUGUCUGUUCUUGUAACUGGAGAGUCCUCGUCACACACUAAGGUUAUUAUGGAGUUCCACAGGGUCCAGUGCUAGGACCACUUCUGUUCAUUACCUUGGCCUCCAGUAACACUGUGAGGAACCUUGGAGUCAUUUUUGACCAGGACAUGUCCUUCAAUGCACAUAUUAAACAAAUAUGUAAGACUGCUUUCUUCCAUUUGCGCAACAUCUGUAAAAUUAGAAAUAUCCUGUCUCAGAGUGACGCUGAUUGUGACAUCACAGUCACAGGAGGAUGUGCUGUUAUUGACAUACAGCAGCAGGUUCUCAUCAGCAGAGAGAUUUAGCGGCUCCAUAUUCCAGUGUGUGUCUCCCUGCCUCCCUGCUAUGGAGCAGCUGGUGAAACACCUGUCCAGGUGUCAGCACCUGGGUUGGAUGAACGUGAUUGAGCUGAAGACCGCCUCCAUCCAUUGGCUGUCCUGUGGCCGGAGGACGGAACCUGACAUCUGGAGUAAAAUGUUCUGUAUCCUAUCAGAAUCACGCUUACUAAUGCUGGAUGACCUGGAGGUAUACACACACACACACACACAGACACACACACACACACACACAGACACACACACCCACAGACACACACCUACACACACACUCACACUAACACACACACACAGACACACAGACACACACAGACACACAGACACACACACACACACACACACACACACCCACAGACACACACACCUACACACACACUCACACUAACACACACACACACACAGACACACAGACACACACACCCACAGACACACACCUACACACACACUCACACUAACACACACACACAGACACACAGACACACACACACACACACACACACACACAGACACACACACCCACAGACACACACACCUACACACACACUCACACAGACACACACACACACAGACACACACACACACACAGACACACACACCCACAGACACACACACCUACACCCACACUCACACUAACACACACACACAGACACACACACCCACAGACACACACCUACACACACACUCACACUAACACACACACACAGACACACACAGACACACACUAACACACACAGACACACACACCCACAGACACACACACAGACACACACACACACAGACACACACACCCACAGACACACACACCUACACACACACUCACACUAACACACACACAUAGACACACACACACACACACACACAGACAGACACACACACACCCACACACACCCACAGACACACACACAGACACAGACACACACACCCACAGACACACACACAGACACACCCACAGACACACACACAGACACACACACUGUGAUUCGAUGACAAACAGCUGCUUUCAGGUGAGAGCUUCAGAGUCCAGGUGUGUCAGGUGUGCAGCGCCAUCAGAACGAAGCAAAGACGCCUAGCAUUCAUAUUUAUUGACUCAUAAUCAUCAUCCUCAGACUCAGCAGGAAGUGUUCAGGGUCACAUGAUCAGCGAGUUCACAGGGAGAGCUUAUCUUCAGUCCUGCAGCGGUGACUCACCUGCACACCUCUACUGUUAGACAGGAGCGGGGGCAGGGCUGGGGGCGGGGCCAGGGCUUGGGACAAGCUGUAACUGACAUCUUUUUAUGAUUCUUUAUAAUAUUCACGUUUAUCCAGUCAGAGGUCAGGCAUCGUGGUUUCAGAAGAAAAACAUCGACUCCUCCUCUCUCCCUUCUCUCCUCCUUCAGGUUCAUCCUCUGCUCCUCACAGAGAGGGCGGAGACUUGCACUGUGUGGUUGCUUAGAUACACGCUCCAUGUGACCUCGGCACCUUCUCGCCCCGCCCACAAAGGUAAGGAAGACGAGACGGGUUCAAGCGGCUGCAGAAGACGGAGACAGACGGACAGACAGACAGGAGCACUGAGACACAGACAGACAGGUGGACCGACAGGUGGACAGAUGAUGGACGCAGACUUUGACUCUUGCGGUGGUAAGAAAAGAAAAAGAAGCGGCGGCGAGUGCUUGUAUGUUUUUUGUGUGAGCGCAGCCGGAUUAGAGUGUCUGCUUCAUCACAUCAUGUCACAUUAUUAAUCUCAUAAUCUGAGUUACCAUUGCAACAUAGCAGAUGACUCCUUAGGUCACCAGGAGCUCAGAGGGUG